CAAGUAUUAUUUUAGUUUUUCUACAAGUAGUGGAUAAGAUGAAUCCAAGUAUAAUGUCUUCAUAUGGAAAUCAAAUUUUAUUUCUCCUCCAAUGAUUUAUCAACAAAUGCAGGGUGACAUUAAUUUGAUACUAUUUGGAUCUUAUUCUUGACUUGUUUAUGUGGAAUUCUUUUUGACAAGUAAAUAAGAGUUUAACUUAAGUGAAAAUAUGAUAAUAAGCAAGUGCUUGGGGAAUAAAACUUAAGAGGAGUAACUAUGAGGAGUGUUGAG
Molecule: unclassified non-coding RNA, 270 nt
Filed under: Hevea brasiliensis (rubber tree)
Lineage: Eukaryota; Viridiplantae; Streptophyta; Magnoliopsida; Malpighiales; Euphorbiaceae
Source: RNAcentral